GAUGAAGAACGUAGCGAAAUGCGAUAAGUAAUGUGAAUUGCAGAAUUCAGUGAAUCAUCGAGUCUUUGAACGCACAUUGCGCCCCCUGGUAUUCCGGGGGGCAUGCCUGUCCGAGCGUCAUUGCUGCCCUCAAGCACGGCUUGUGUGUUGGGCCCCCGCCCCCCGGCUUCGGGGGGCGGGCCCGAAAGGCAGCGGCGGCACCGCGUCCGGUCCUCGAGCGUAUGGGGCUUCGUCACCCGCUCUGUAGGCCCGGCCGGCGCCCGCCGGCGACCCCAAUCAAUCUUUCCAGGUUGACCUCGGAUCAGGUAGGGAUACCCGCUGAACUUAAGCAUAUCAAUAAGCGGAAGA
RNAcentral lists this unclassified non-coding RNA (348 nucleotides) under soil metagenome. Its description in RNAcentral is "partial contains 5.8S ribosomal RNA, internal transcribed spacer 2, and large subunit ribosomal RNA". The stretch from base 1 to 120 matches the Rfam family "5.8S ribosomal RNA", at positions 35 to 154 of the family's 154-position model. The record is from RNAcentral.